GCGCCUGCAAAAUGAAUUUCAAAAUCGCUUUCGUUGUUCUGUUACUAGCCGUGGCAGUUUACGCUGUACCGCGCGCUUACGGUAAUUAUUACUACGGUCAUGGCGGUCACCACGGCGGUCAUAGUGGUGAAAGUAGUGAAGAACACCAUGGUGGUCAUGGAGGAUACGGUGGAUAUGGUAAGGAUAUCAAAAU
This is a long non-coding RNA of Hyposmocoma kahamanoa, 193 nucleotides long. RefSeq lists it as uncharacterized. The record is from RefSeq and is a predicted model, not a curated record. Lineage: Eukaryota; Metazoa; Arthropoda; Insecta; Lepidoptera; Cosmopterigidae. The transcript has 3 exons.